GAAAUGCGAUAAGUAAUGUGAAUUGCAGAAUUCCGUGAAUCAUCGAAUCUUUGAACGCACAUUGCGCCCUCUGGUAUUCCGGGGGGCAUGCCUGUCCGAGCGUCAUUGCAACCCCCUCAAGCCCGGCUUGUGUGUUGGGCCUCUUCUUUGAAACUGUCCCCCUCAGUGGACAGGCCCGAAAAGCAGUGGCGGUAUCGUGUUCCGGUGCCCGAGUGUAUGGGAAUGAAUUGACGGCGUCCUCCGUUUACGGAAAAAGGGCCCUGUUGAAGAUCAGACCUGCUCGCAAGGCCCGGCCGGUGCCUCGCCUCCGGGAGUUCGUCCGCUUCCCGAGCGGCGUGAACGGCCUUCAUUAUUCUUUCGUGGUUGACCUCGGAUCAGGUAGGGAUACCCGCUGAACUUA
Molecule: unclassified non-coding RNA, 400 nt
Filed under: uncultured Eurotiomycetes
Lineage: Eukaryota; Fungi; Ascomycota; Eurotiomycetes
Description: sequence contains ITS1
Rfam family: 5.8S ribosomal RNA (bases 1-105)
Source: RNAcentral